CUUCUCGUCUGUCGCCAUGUGAGAUGUACCUUUCACUUUCCUCCAUGAUUGUGAGGCCUCCUUAGCCACAUGGAACUGCCCUGGCAAUCACUAUUCCAGUCUCUGCUUCUAUGAGUUUGACUAUUUCAGAUUCCACAUGUAGGAAAUGCUGGAGUCCUUCAUCCGAAUGGUAAAUGGCACUUGUGACAAAAAUCAAAGUAACUAAAAAAGAAUCUGGUUGAAACCUCAGUAACAGUUGGCCUGUCUACUGCCUCACACUAACAAGGGGGAGCUAAUAAAACCGAGGUUAGAACACACAAUGUGGAAAUGAAAACCUUAUUCUUGUCAAUGGAUGGAGGUGACCCCCACCUUUACAAGUGUCUGUAAUUCUCACUAGCAGUAUAUUAGAGGGCAAAAGAUUUGAACAGACACAUCAGAAAAGAAGACAUACAAAUGGCCGCUAAGCACUUGAAAGGAUUCUGAACACCAUUAGUCAUCAGUGAAAUGCAAAUUAAAGCCAUAAUGAAUGGCGCUAUACAUUUUCAGAAUGGCAAGGAUUGAAGACCGAAAAAAAUCAAGCGUUGAGGAGAGUGACAAAUGGGGAGACAGCCGUGGUGCAUGAUCGCCGAAUAAAUACCAUGUGAGGAUACAGCAAGAAGGUGGCCAUCUACAAGCCAAGGAGACAGGCCUCAGAAGAAACCAACCCUUCUUACACCCUGGACUCAGACUUCUAAUCUCCAGAACUUGUUAAUGCACAAGGUCUUGUGUUGAAAAUGUAGAGCCACGAGAUAAAAGCAGCUUGGAUGGCUGACUCAUAUACAAGGACAACUGCCUGAGAGUCACCAGGGCUAUCAAGAAGUUUGCAGAAACAAGAAAUAAACUUUUACUGUUUUAAACUUU
RNAcentral lists this long non-coding RNA (879 nucleotides) under Homo sapiens (human). Its description in RNAcentral is "PYDC2 antisense RNA 1". Lineage: Eukaryota; Metazoa; Chordata; Mammalia; Primates; Hominidae. The record is from RNAcentral.